UGGGANUUUGAGGUCAGCCUGGGCUACAU
Molecule: non-coding RNA, 29 nt
Filed under: Mus musculus (house mouse)
Lineage: Eukaryota; Metazoa; Chordata; Mammalia; Rodentia; Muridae
Source: RNAcentral